Astyanax mexicanus (Mexican tetra) is the source of this 450-nucleotide long non-coding RNA. RefSeq lists it as uncharacterized. The transcript has 4 exons. NCBI's taxonomy places the organism in Eukaryota, Metazoa, Chordata, Actinopteri, Characiformes, Acestrorhamphidae. The record is from RefSeq and is a predicted model, not a curated record.
CCUGUAUAACUGACCUGAUUGGGAGAGUUUGCUCUGUUUAUUAGUGUCCCAGCGUUGCGGCAGCAAGAAUGAGUAUCAAUUAUCAUAUUCCAAAGAUGUGGAGUUUUAGAAGACAUUACCUUACCAGUGAGGAGGAGACCGCCACUGAAUACUGAGAAUGGUAUGUUCCACUCCUAAAGGCGGGAGACACCUGUAUAACUGGGCUGAUUGGGACGGUUGGUUCUGUUUGUUAGCGUCCCAGUGCUGCUGCAAGAAUGAGUCAAUAUAUCCUCAUUUCAAAGAUGUGGAGUUGAAGAGCGUGAUCUUACCAGUGAGGAGACCACCACUAUAUUGAGUAGCAUUUUUUUAAAGGUGUUUUUUUUUUUUUUUUUUUUUUUUUUUUACAAACUUAUUUACAAGUACAUGUGAUGGUCUAGGACCGUUUCAAAGUAAAUAAAAUUGGAUACUGUA